UAGGGAAUCUUCUGCAAUGGACGCAAGUCUGACGGAGCAACGCCGCGUGAGUGAAGAAGGAUUUCGGUUCGUAAAACUCUGUUGUUAGAGAAGAACAGCGCAUAGAGUAACUGUUAUGCGUGUGACGGUAUCUAACCAGAAAGCCACGGCUAACUACGUGCCAGCAGCCGCGGUAAUACGUAGGUGGCAAGCGUUGUCCGGAUUUAUUGGGCGUAAAGCGAGCGCAGGCGGUCAAUUAAGUCUUAUGUGAAAGCCCCCGGCUCAACCGGGGAGGGUCAUUGGAAACUGGUUGACUUGAGUGCAGAAGAGGAGAGUGGAAUUCCAUGUGUAGCGGUGAAAUGCGUAGAUAUAUGGAGGACCACCGGUGGCGAAAGCGGCUCUCUGGUCUGUAACUGACGCUGAGGCUCGAAAGCGUGGGGAGCGAACAGG
This 429-nucleotide ribosomal RNA is filed under the name Bacteroidota bacterium. RNAcentral describes it as "Bacteroidetes bacterium partial 16S ribosomal RNA". It matches the Rfam family "Bacterial small subunit ribosomal RNA", at positions 355 to 776 of the family's 1533-position model. Lineage: Bacteria; Pseudomonadati; Bacteroidota. The record is from RNAcentral.